UCACUUUAUGCUUCUAUGUUUUGUUUUACAUCGAACAGGGAUAACAAGUUACAUUAACACGGCCACUAAGCUGUUUUAUAUUAUUUAUUUUAUUGUUAAAUAAUAUAUUUAGCCAUCUAAUCUCAUGUGAUUAUAUUUAAAUAACUAUUUUAUAUUUGAUAAUAAAAUAAUUUAGUUUAGCUGUUAUUGGGACAAUAAGUGAUAAUACUUAUUAAUAUUUAUAUGGUCACGACUUCUGAACUUUUAUAAGUUUUGGGUUUAGGGGAGUUAAUACAGGAAUCUGACCUGCUUAUAAUUAUUACUACCCAUGUUUAUAAUUCCGUUAGCUAAUGUAUAUUAUUAAUUGAGUAGGUCAGUGUAAUAUUUGGAUGUUAAUUUAGUAUGUUAGUAUUCCGGAAGUGGUCCAUGUCAAAGUAGAUAGAGUGGGACUAGUUACUGGUUUAUAAAUACGCUGGUGAUGGUUCGGAUGCACUGGUAAUAUCUUAAAGACUAAUUAAUUAACUGGAUUUGAUUAGAUAACUGAGGAGCAGCGGAGAGGAAAUUUAUUGAAUUGAUUAUUAUUAUAUCAGGUACUCUCUCUCCUUUUAUUUAAAUAAUAAAUAUUUAUUAUAUUUAUUAUUUUGACAUUCUUAAAAUCUCUUUUGUUAUUGCACAUCACUCUUUUCACUUGGCCUUCAUAUAUUUGAAUUAUUGUUGCCUUGACUCCUAUUGUUUCCUUUCGUUUUAUGAUUGUACCACUGUAUAUAUUUUGUUCAUUGAGUCGGCAACUUUUGUAAUUGUUUGGGCUCUUAAACUUAUCCGUGUGGGUAAAUCACGGACAAUGUUCACAUGGAGUUCGUAGUAAAGGUGAACUAGACACCAACUCGUAUCGGUGAUUUAAGCAUACGAGCACGUUUCUGGGGUAUGAGACGUGAGAAGAUCAUGAUCGUUAUUGUUUUG
Molecule: long non-coding RNA, 939 nt
Filed under: Daucus carota (carrot)
Lineage: Eukaryota; Viridiplantae; Streptophyta; Magnoliopsida; Apiales; Apiaceae
Description: long non-coding RNA (DCAR_LNC006386)
Source: RNAcentral